CCGCAGCCCGACUUGAACGGAAAUCCUUUUUGCGGCUGGAAAAGAUUGGGCAAAAAGAUUGGGAGUGGAAGGCGGAUAAAGC
Molecule: unclassified non-coding RNA, 82 nt
Filed under: Epilithonimonas lactis
Lineage: Bacteria; Pseudomonadati; Bacteroidota; Flavobacteriia; Flavobacteriales; Weeksellaceae
Description: Chryseobacterium halperniae Flavo-1 RNA
Source: RNAcentral